GACGAACGCUGGCGGCGUGCCUAAUACAUGCAAGUCGAACGAACCGCGACUAGGUGCUUGCACUUGGUCAAGGUGAGUGGCGAACGGGUGAGUAACACGUGGGUAACCUACCUCAUAGUGGGGGAUAACAGUCGGAAACGACUGCUAAUACCGCAUAGGACAUAGGAUCACAUGAUCCAGUGAGGAAAGGUGGCGCAAGCUAUCGCUAAGAGAUGGACCCGCGGUGCAUUAGCUAGUUGGUAGGGUAAAGGCCUACCAAGGCGAUGAUGCAUAGCCGACCUGAGAGGGUGAUCGGCCACAUUGGGACUGAGACACGGCCCAAACUCCUACGGGAGGCAGCAGUAGGGAAUCUUCCGCAAUGGACGAAAGUCUGACGGAGCAACGCCGCGUGAGUGAAGAAGGUCUUCGGAUCGUAAAGCUCUGUUGUUAGAGAAGAACAGCGCAUAGAGUAACUGUUAUGCGUGUGACGGUAUCUAACCAGAAAGCCACGGCUAACUACGUG
Molecule: ribosomal RNA, 502 nt
Filed under: uncultured bacterium
Lineage: Bacteria
Description: partial 16S ribosomal RNA
Rfam family: Bacterial small subunit ribosomal RNA
Source: RNAcentral